AAAACUGUAUUAGGAGUUUUUGAUUAUUAAAUAUUUGUGUUUUUUAUAUGUUGUAACAUCUUAAGGCUUACAUUUUUCCUCUUCAUUAAUCAAACAUUCCCUAUGGACCUACUGAUCAAUUACUAUUUGAAACAGCCAAUGAAGUAUUGAAAUCACCACUGUGGCACUUAUUUUUUAUUUAUUUAUUUUUUUCAAUUCUUCUUUAAAUGGAGGGGUGAACUACAUCCAAAGCACUAAUCAGAGUGUGCAUUUAGAUGUAGAUCAACGUCAUCAAUACAUAUUUAUAUUUAAAAAUACAAAAAUACAAGACACUAAGUAUUUUGAUGCAAAAUAUUAAGGCAUUUUCAUCAGCCCUAUUAAAUACAAAUUACAAAAUACUAUAACGUAGCUGUAUUUAAAAUGUGUGUUUGAAAUACAUGUAGCCUAUCAUAAAUAGUCCCCUUCC
Non-coding RNA from Danio rerio (zebrafish), 445 nucleotides. The record is from Ensembl. NCBI's taxonomy places the organism in Eukaryota, Metazoa, Chordata, Actinopteri, Cypriniformes, Danionidae.